RNAcentral lists this ribosomal RNA (254 nucleotides) under uncultured bacterium. RNAcentral's name for it is "partial 16S ribosomal RNA". It matches the Rfam family "Bacterial small subunit ribosomal RNA", at positions 1246 to 1500 of the family's 1533-position model. The record is from RNAcentral.
GAGGCAAGACCGCGAGGUGGAGCAAAUCUCAAAAAGCCGUCCCAGUUCGGAUCGCAGGCUGCAACCCGCCUGCGUGAAGUUGGAAUCGCUAGUAAUCGCGGAUCAGCAUGCCGCGGUGAAUACGUUCCCGGGCCUUGUACACACCGCCCGUCACACCAUGAGAGUCGGGGACACCCGAAGUCCGUAGCCUAACUGCAAGGGGGGCGCGGCCGAAGGUGGNUUCGAUAAUUGGGGUGAAGUCGUAACAAGGUAAC